This 253-nucleotide ribosomal RNA is filed under the name uncultured bacterium. RNAcentral describes it as "partial 16S ribosomal RNA". It matches the Rfam family "Bacterial small subunit ribosomal RNA", at positions 524 to 776 of the family's 1533-position model. The record is from RNAcentral.
UACGGGGGGGGCAAGCGUUGUUCGGAAUUACUGGGCGUAAAGCGCACGUAGGCGGCUCUUUAAGUCGGAGGUGAAAUCCUGGAGCUCAACUCCAGAACUGCCUUCGAUACUGUAGAGCUUGAGUUCGGGAGAGGUGAGUGGAACUGCGAGUGUAGAGGUGAAAUUCGUAGAUAUUCGCAAGAACACCAGUGGCGAAGGCGGCUCACUGGCCCGAUACUGACGCUGAGGUGCGAAAGCGUGGGGAGCAAACAGG